This 497-nucleotide ribosomal RNA is filed under the name uncultured bacterium. RNAcentral's name for it is "partial 16S ribosomal RNA". It matches the Rfam family "Bacterial small subunit ribosomal RNA", at positions 28 to 507 of the family's 1533-position model. The record is from RNAcentral.
GAUGAACGCUGGCGGCGUGCCUAAUACAUGCAAGUAGAACGCUGAAGGAAGGAGCUUGCUCUUUCCGGAUGAGUUGCGAACGGGUGAGUAACGCGUAGGUAACCUGCCUGUUAGCGGGGGAUAACUAUUGGAAACGAUAGCUAAUACCGCAUAACAGUAGAUGUUGCAUGAUAUCUACUUAAAAGGUGCAAUUGCACCACUACCAGAUGGACCUGCGUUGUAUUAGCUAGUUGGAGAGGUAACGGCUCACCAAGGCGACGAUACAUAGCCGACCUGAGAGGGUGAUCGGCCACACUGGGACUGAGACACGGCCCAGACUCCUACGGGAGGCAGCAGUAGGGAAUCUUCGGCAAUGGACGGAAGUCUGACCGAGCAACGCCGCGUGAGUGAAGAAGGGUUUCGGAUCGUAAAGCUCUGUUGUAAGAGAAGAACGAGUGUGAGAGUGGAAAGUUCACACUGUGACGGUAUCUUACCAGAAAGGGACGGCUAACUACGUG